CGCGUCACGUUUGGAAAAUCCCGUGGCCGUGGGAUCAUUUUCCUUUCCCGCUUCUCGACUUCCCCAAUCGGCCACCCCCCACCCCCUCCUUCCUUCCUGGCCAGCGCGGCGGCUAUGGCCUCCAUGACCACACCUCGGCUCCCCUUCCUCCCCGCCCGAACCCGCUCCGCCGUCGCCGCCUCCUCCUCUUCGUCCCCCUCCUCCCCGCUACCACGCCUCUCCAUCAAAUGCAGCAGCUCCGCCAACGCUAACUCGGCCCCCCUCCCUUCUACAUCGCGGCAGCCCCGGGCGCCCGUGGCGGACGGCGUAGGGUCCGCCGACCUCAACGGCCUCCGGGCCCCGCCUAUACCUGUCGCCGACUCCCCUCUGCCCGCGUACCGCGAUCCGCACGGGCUGCCUCGGCCUCUCACUAGUGCGGAUCUAAUGGAGUCGAGCGGGGAGGGGCUCAAGGUUGCCUACCAGGGCUUCCCUGGAGCGUACAGCGAGGCUGCAGCAAAGAAGGCCUAUCCAAAUUGCCAGACAGUGCCCUGCGAGCACUUUGAUACUGCAUUUCAGGCUGUUCAAAACUGGAUAGUUGAUAGGGCGGUACUGCCACUUGAGAAUACUCUGGGUGGUAGUAUACAUCGGAACUAUGACCUUUUACUUCGGCAUGAACUGCACAUAGUUGGAGAGGUUCGCCUUGCAGUUCGGCAUUGCUUGUUAGCCAAUCGUGGAGUGAAGAUCGGGAACCUAAGAAAUGUCAUUAGUCAUCCCCAGGCUCUUGCGCAAUGUGAGCAUACGCUGACAGAGUUAGGAAUUGAACAUAGACAGGCCGUUGAUGACACUGCUGGUGCAGCAAAGUUAGUCGCAGAACAAAUGCUCCAAGACACUGGUGCUGUUGCCAGUUCAUUAGCUGCUGAACUUUAUGGACUCGAUAUUCUUGCUGAAAAUAUUCAGGACGAAAAAGUCAAUGUCACCCGUUUUAUGAUGCUUGCUCGGGAACCUAUUAUACCCCGGGUUGAUAAGCCAUUCAAGACUAGUAUUGUGUUUUCACUUGAAGAAGGACCUGGACAGCUCUUCAAGGCACUUGCAGUUUUUGCACUGAGGGAAAUCAACCUCACCAAGAAAGCCGUCCACACAAGAAAAGGCCUUUUCGUGUAGCUGAUGAUGCUUUCUCCACGCGAGUCAAGUACUUCGACUACCUGUUUUAUGUCGAUCUUGAGGCGUCUAUGGCUGAUCCAAAAACUCAGAAUGCUCUCAGAAAUUUGGAGGAGUUUGCAACCUUUUUAAGAGUCCUGGGGAGCUAUCCUACAGACGUGAGCGAAGCUUGAAUAGCAAGUGCUUGCUGCAGAUCACAUGUUAGUGAUUAAUCAAUUGUGUGCCUUUUUCUUAAUCGGAUAAACAUCCGCCUUUUGAUAGCUGUUGUUUGGUGUAAUGAAAUAAACAUAGUUCUCCAUUAUAGAGUCAGAAACAUGUAGCUCUCAGAGCAUAUUUCCUAGUACUUGGAUUGGGACUUGAGCAGUCUUAUUACUCAUAAAAUGUACGUGGGUAGUCCACAGCAGAAUAGUGGAUAUACUCCCGGGGAUUGUUCAGGUUGAGUACAAUGUAGAAUCAGAAUACUGAA
Molecule: RNA transcript, 1603 nt
Organism: Triticum aestivum (bread wheat)
Lineage: Eukaryota; Viridiplantae; Streptophyta; Magnoliopsida; Poales; Poaceae
Gene name: arogenate dehydratase 2
Exons: 11
Source: RefSeq, a predicted model, not a curated record